Molecule: long non-coding RNA, 1437 nt
Filed under: Anas platyrhynchos platyrhynchos (common mallard)
Lineage: Eukaryota; Metazoa; Chordata; Aves; Anseriformes; Anatidae
Description: lncRNA (ENSAPLG00000030694.1)
Source: RNAcentral
AAGUUGCUAACACCUGGCAGAGAGAGGACUGCAUAUGAGCAGGUGUUGAUUUCUGACAUAGAGACACAAAGCUUCCUUCCCUCCCCAUCUGCACCAGGUUUGUGGUUCCUGGGAGCCCUUCCCAGGGGCCCUGUCCAGCAGCUUUGGCAUGGAGGGCACCUUGUGCCUGAGUAGCAGCUGGCAAUGCCAGAGACAUCCAGUCCUGCUGAAUCCUUUCAUUAAGGCCAUGAACAGUCAGAAGGAAGGCACCCUUGAGCCUUCCCCCUUGCCCAGGGAAGAGGUGAAGGAUAACCAGACUGGCAGAGAAUGUUGGGCAUCUGGGUCUAGGUGCCUUUGUUUGUGCGUGGUCAUAUGUCCGUCCAGACCGCCCCUAGGGAAGAAGAGGACAAGGGCAGCAGAAGGCAUCUCUUCUCCAUUGACAGCAGAGGUGGGUGCAGGCCUCUGUGUCUGGACGGGUUCUGGAUAGCAAGGGGAGGCCACUGGGGAUUCUUGCCCCUUGCUGGGGCUGCCCACCUGCCAGAAGGGGCAAAAAGAGGGAAGCACACGGUGGCCAUGGUGGUGUCCUUUUGCCUUACCGCUGACCAAGUGAAAUGUCCUAGGCUUCACAGGCCUGCAGCUCUGAGCUAACUGCACAAGUGUGACACUCAUGGUGCUGGAAAACCUGCACCUGGCAAUGGGGAACGUGGAGCACAGCAAAGACUGACUGGAUUCCUUUCUGACUGCUUUAGCCACUAGUCCAUCUCUCUCUUGAGAGCCUUGCUGGGGCAGAGGUGAGCCCCAAGGAGUAGCAGGGGGAGAGCUUUGCUCCACCCUCUGUGCUGAGGUUUAGAGGCUGCUUUGAGCUGGCAGAGGGGGAAGUGAACUUGCAAACUUGAGCUCCCUCUUUCCAGGCACUACGUGGGCACCCUGUGAAGGUGAGAGCGUGACAUGGUCCUGCUUUUCCUGGCAGCCUUGAUGGCACUGUCAGACUUUGGUGAGAUGUGACAUUCAGGAGGGCAAGAUAGGGGCAAGAUGGCAUCCCAUCAUUUCUGGAGGGGAGAAAUUGGACUCCUUUUCUCCCUGGAAGAAGUGGAAGUGUUUUCUGUAGGGAGAGCAGGGGCUGCAGAUGGGAGCAACGCAUGUAGAGGGAUGAAUAAGCUUCUGCAUUUUUCUUUGCAGAUGCCUAGCAUUCUUACAUGCAUUGUUCAUAGGUAUGGAUGGUGAAAGAGAGGUUCUUGGUAGGGAACAGAUCAGAAUGGUAGAUAGGAGCUUGUGCCCUCCUAAGAUGUCCUUGACAAAAUAAUGUCAGCAUAUGUGGAGUUGGAUGUAAUCCUCUGUAGACUUGGAAAGAAGGCUAAAACCAUACAAGACCUGAGAUGCUGCACGAGGAAAAAGCAAGAACAUACCACAUCAGGAGAAGUUACGGAGUAAACAUUGUAGUAAGAAAUGAUGAAGUGA